This 457-nucleotide ribosomal RNA is filed under the name uncultured bacterium. RNAcentral's name for it is "bacterial SSU rRNA". It matches the Rfam family "Bacterial small subunit ribosomal RNA", at positions 452 to 905 of the family's 1533-position model. The record is from RNAcentral.
CUGCUCUAAUAAAGUGGGCUAAUGACGGUACCGUAAGAAUAAGCACCGGCUAACUACGUGCCAGCAGCCGCGGUAAUACGUAGGGUGCGAGCGUUAAUCGGAAUUACUGGGCGUAAAGCGUGCGCAGGCGGUUAUAUAAGACAGUUGUGAAAUCCCCGGGCUCAACCUGGGAAUUGCAUCUGUGACUGUAUAGCUAGAGUACGGUAGAGGGGGAUGGAAUUCCGCGUGUAGCAGUGAAAUGCGUAGAUAUGCGGAGGAACACCGAUGGCGAAGGCAAUCCCCUGGACCUGUACUGACGCUCAUGCACGAAAGCGUGGGGAGCAAACAGGAUUAGAUACCCUGGUAGUCCACGCCCUAAACGAUGUCAACUGGUUGUUGGGUGCAUUAGUACUCAGUAACGAAGCUAACGCGUGAAGUUGACCGCCUGGGGAGUACGGCCGCAAGGUUGAAACUCAAA